AGACAACAGGAGGGGAAUGGCGGGAAUUGGUCUUGUUUCUCCUUAUUGGACUGGAACAAGGAAGUGACUGCUGACACUAAAAGAGUUCACAGACACGCUGCCUUUUGUAAAACUGCAAUUGUGACAGAUGAAGAGAAGAGCAAGACUUUGCGAGAAAGAGGAAAGACUGCAGAGUUCACUCAACAUCAAACCCUGCAAACAUGAGGGCUUCAUAUUAACAUGGUGAGUAGAUAAAAAUACUUUUGAUUUCAUCUCAAUUUAAAUAAAAGUAAAUUUUCUUACAAGAAAUGUUGAGGGAAACCAUAGUUUUUAAGGGAAUAAUCAUAUAAAGGGAAAAUAAAAUUGAGAAAAAUGUCAAAUACAGUCCAGUCAAAAACAAUGUAUGAUGUAACUGUUUUCUGCAAAAAUAAAAUAAAAAAUAUCAG
This is a long non-coding RNA of Syngnathus acus (greater pipefish), 425 nucleotides long. RefSeq lists it as uncharacterized. NCBI's taxonomy places the organism in Eukaryota, Metazoa, Chordata, Actinopteri, Syngnathiformes, Syngnathidae. The record is from RefSeq and is a predicted model, not a curated record. The transcript is spliced from 3 exons.